UUACGUGGAUAAGGGUGGCAGGUGGAUGGUUAGGCUAUCAGAGGCGAUGAAGGACGCGCCAAGCUGCGAUAAGUCCGGGGGAGCUGCACAGGAGCUAUGAUCCCGGAAUUUCCGAAUGGGGCAACCCCGUGGGAUAACCCCCACGAUCCCGCAAGGGAGGCGAGACCCGGUGAAUUGAAACAUCUUAGUAGCCGGAGGAAAAGAAAUCGAUCCGAGAUGGCGUCAGUAGCGGCGAGCGAACGCGUCAAAGCCCAAACCAGGUGGUUUACCACCUGGGGUUGUAGGGCCUGCGAUAUGGGAUCAACAAGACGAGCAGAACGACCUGGAAAGGUCGGCCAGAGCGGGUGAUAGCCCCGUACGCGAAGUCGAGUUGGCCCUAGCGGGUACCUGAGUAACGCAAGACUCGUGAAAUCCUGCGUGAAUCUAGGGAGACCACUCUCUAAGGCUAAAUACUCCUGAUAGACCGAUAGCGAAGUAGUAGCGCGAGCGAAAACUGAAAAGGACCCCUGGCGGGGAGUGAAAAGACCCUGAAUCCUGCCACUUACAAGCAGUCGUAGACCUAUGUCGCAAGACAGGUUGGCGGCGUGCCUUUUGCAUAAUGACCCAGCGACUUACCGUUUGCAGCAAGCUUAAGGUCUUACGGACCGGAGGCGUAGGGAAACCGAGUCUGAAUAGGGCGAUCAGUUGCAGGCGGUAGACCCGAAACUUAGUGAUCUAGCCAUGAGCAGGCUGAAGCGAGGGUAAGACCUCGUGGAGGGCCGAACCCGUGACCGUUGAAAAGGUUUGGGAUGACUUGUGGCUAGGAGCAAAAGACUAAUCAAACUGAGAGAUAUCUGGUUCUCCCCGAAAUAUAUUUAGGUAUAGGCUCACGAAACUACGAUGUGGGGGUAGAGCACUGAAUGGGCUAGGGGCCUCACCGGGUUACCAAACCCAAUCAAACUCCGAAUACCAUAUCGACUAUCGUGGGGCUCAGACAGUGGGGGAUAAUCUUCAUUGUCAAAAGGGAAAGAGCCCAGACCAACAGCUAAGGUCCCAAAAUACAUGCUAAGUGGAAAACGUUGUGGAGUUACUGAGACAACCAGGAGGUUGGCUUAGAAGCAGCCAUCCUUUAAAGAGUGCGUAACAGCUCACUGGUCGAGCACGAUGGUGCCGAAAAUAACCGGGGCUCAAGCAUGCUACCGAAGCUUUGGCUGUGACAGUUCCUUCGGGAAUCGUCACGGGGUAGGGGAGCGUUGUGUGCAGGUUGAAGGCAGACCGAAAGGACUGCUGGACAGCACACAAGUGAUUAUGCUGGGAUGAGUAACGAUAAAGCAGGUGAGAAUCCUGCUCACCGUAAGCACACGGUUUCCUCCGGAAGGUCAUUCCGCGGAGGGUUAGGCGGUCCCUAAGUCGAGGCCGAUAGGCGUAGACGAUGGAACACGGGUUAAUAUUCCCGUCCUGCCAGUGAAGUGCCCACGGAGAACGCAUGAGACUAACACGGUGGAGCCAGAAGCUGGCCCAUCCGGUGGCGCGGUUUACCUAGUUGAAAGAUUAGGUGCACGCUUCGUCAUCGGCAAACGCCUUGAGCGCUAUAGGCGUGUGAUGUCAUGGUGCCGAGAAAAGCCCGUCGGGAGAUAAUUUCAUUGGCAACCGUACUUCAAACCGACACAGGUGUGCGAGGAGAGUAUCCUCAGGUGCGCGAGAGAACUCUGGUUAAGGAACUCGGCAAAUUCACUCCGUACGUUCGCAAGAAGGAGUGCCGGCGCAAGCCGGCCGCAGUGAAGAGGCCCAACCGACUGUUUACUAAAAACACAGUUCCGUGCAAACUCGAAAGAGGACGUAUACGGAAUGAUGCCUGCCCGGUGCUGGAAGGUUAAGGGGAGGGGUCAGCCGCAAGGCGAAGCUCCGAACUCAAGCCCCAGUAAACGGCGGCCGUAACUAUGACGGUCCUAAGGUAGCGAAAUUCCUUGUCGGGUAAGUUCCGACCUGCAUGAAAGGCAUAACGAGUUGGGCACUGUCUCAACCAGAGACUCGGUGAAAUUGCAGUAUGGGCGAAGAUACCCAUUACCCGCAGCAGGACGAAAAGAC
This 2067-nucleotide ribosomal RNA is filed under the name metagenomes. RNAcentral's name for it is "bacterial LSU rRNA". It matches the Rfam family "Bacterial large subunit ribosomal RNA", at positions 1 to 2089 of the family's 2925-position model. The record is from RNAcentral.